Cannabis sativa is the source of this 2324-nucleotide long non-coding RNA. RefSeq lists it as uncharacterized. NCBI's taxonomy places the organism in Eukaryota, Viridiplantae, Streptophyta, Magnoliopsida, Rosales, Cannabaceae. The transcript has 2 exons. The record is from RefSeq and is a predicted model, not a curated record.
AAAAUGAAAUGGAACUGAGAUACCAUAAAUUUUAACAAGUAAAAAACUUUGAUUUAUAUCAUUAGUACUUACCAAUUACAACAUCUUAAUUAAUUAAUUAAUGAAAUAUUUGUAGACAACCAAAAAAAAAUAUGUAAAAAUGUAGAUGAAUAAAUAUGGUUCCCAAGCGGAAGAAUGGGAAAGAAAUAUUGUAUUUUUGAAAGUUUGGGUUUUUGAAUGAAAGAAAGAGAAAGAGAAAGAAAAAAAAAAUAAUUAAAUGGAGGAGAUAAGAAUAAAUUAGUAAUUUAUUUAAAUCAUUAUUAUUUAAUUUAAAAAUAUUAUUAAAAAAUAAUUUUAUGAAUAAUCUAGUACAUUCUACAUAUUAACCAUUUAUAUACACUCAUCAAUUUAUUACCAUUAGAUUAAAUAUCUAUGGCUAUAAGAAUAUGCCUACCAUACGGACAAAACUAAGGUGCUUACCAUAGACAUAUCCUUUAAUAUCGGGGAUUUUUACACUUGGUGUCUCAUUUUACCAUUUUUUUUUACAUUUUUGUCUUUAUUUAGUUAUUUAAACAUUUUUAAAAAAAUUGUUUUUCAAUUUUAUAUUUUAAAAAGUUUGAUAAUUAUAAAAAUACAUAUGCAUGCCUAUGUCAUGGGUUUUCUCUCAUAUUACACUCCAUCUACUUUCUUCUCUUUCAUUCAUGCUUAUGUCAUGGGUUUUCUCUCAUAUUACACUCCAUCUCUACCACCUUCUUCUCUUUCAUUCUUUUUUUUUUUUAAUUUUUCUUUUAUUUUCUGUUAGUUUUUUUUUUUCUUUUUCCAUAACCCAUUAUCAUUCCCUGUGAAGCCCUAAUCCACGAUCUCCCCUACCUUCCAUAGCUGCAUUUCUUUUUUCCUCUUACAGUUAAUUUUCUUCUUCUAUAAAUGGCCACCACUAGGUCUGGUUCCAAGUCCCUUUCACCUGCUAAAAAAAAUUCAAAAAAUACUAAGAAACCUCCUUCAAAGUCCUCUAAAGUUGAUCCUAAAAUUGGUUUGAAAGACAUUGCGAACAAGGGAAUGGAUGAUGAUGCAGAGCCAUUUGGUCCAAAAAAAAGACAUCUUCCAGCUAAGAUUGAAUCUCUAAGGCAAAGAGAACCAAAUCUUCGAAAUUUGUCAAGGAUGUUCUCUCCGAUUCUGACUUCGAGGAUGAAGUUCCUGAUUUGGAAGUGAAGCCUAAAGUUAAGCCCAAGGGUUGUUUACCUUGAAUUUUUUCAUUUUUUCAUUUGUUUUUUUAUCUCAUUUUUUGUUUUUUAGUUUUGUUUUUUUUUUUUUGUUGCUGCUAUUAAAUAGUUUUUAGCAUUAUUUAACCAAACUAUGUCCUGUUUCUAUUUCUCAAUUUGGGCUUUCUUAUUAGUUAUUUUUAAGUUUUAAAUGUGUUUUUUUAAGGUUUAUUGUUGUUUUUAUUCUCAUUUUUUGUAGGAAGGUUUUGUGUUUUCAUAACAUUUUUUUUCUUAUUUUUAAUUCGUGGUUUGAUUGUUCUUUUAGUGUUCUAUUGACUUUUUCUGAACAGUUGUUUUAAUGUUUAUGUUUAAUAGUUUUAGUGCUGUUUAAUUUUAUUUCCCAGUUAGCAAUUUUUUUAGUAAUUUUUGUUUUUCAAAUUGUUGUUAAUAUGUUUUUUCCCAGUUGUUCAUCUUUUAGGUUGUUUAUGUAUGGGUGAUUUUAAAAUAUUAUUUUGGUUGCGUUCUAGUUUUUUUCUGGAAGCUUAGAUGAUGUUUGUUUUUUCAUAUUUUUGUACCUUAAAUUUUUUCUCUAAUUCGAUUAUGGGUAAGAUUCAAUGUUUUUUUGAUCUCCUUCUUCAAAUCCUCUCCUCUGUACGCUUUCAGUUUUUGUUUGUAUGUUAUUUUUGUAUUUUUUUUACAGCAAUGGAGGUCGAUAUCUCUAUUUUUUUCUUUUUCCCUUUUUUGUAUUUGGAUUUUUUGGGAUUUUAUUGCUUUUUCCUUGAGAUCUACACCUUGAUUUGAGCUAAUUUACCUAGUUUUUGAAAGAAAAUAGUGGAGAUAUGGUGGAUUGGGAUGUUUCGGCUGGCUCACGAAGAAGGAGGAGUUUCCUCCGUGUUUCUUGUUAAGCUGGUAUUUUUGUAAAUAGAAACUUUUGUUUUCUAUUUAUGUUUAUUUUUCCUUUAUAAGGUAUAAAUGUAAAAUAUUGCUUUUAUUAGUUUAUUAUAGACAAAUUCCCUUAAUAUUGAUUAUUAGAUCUAUAAGUUGAGUUAUAUUUUGUACAAAAAGUAGUGUUGUAAUAUUUUUACAUUAACUUUUAUUAUUGUAUUCCAAUGCAUAAUUACAAAGUAACUCUUUCAUUCUUUCGCU